UACCAGCUCUCCGAGUGGUGGGGAUGCUUAUUGGGCCUAAAGCAUUCGUAGCCGGCUGGGCAAGUCCUCCGUUAAAUCCAGCGAUUCAAUCGUUGGGCUGCAGGGGAUACUGUCCGGCUAGGGGGCGGAAGAGGCCGACGGUAUUCUCGGGGUAGGGGUGAAAUCCUAUAAUCCCGGGAGGACCACCAGUGGCGAAGGCUGUCGGCUAGAACACGCCCGACGGUGAGGGAUGAAAGCUGGGGGAGCGAACCGGAUUAGAUACCCGGGUAGUCCCAGCUGUAAACUAUGCAGGCUAGGUGUUGGCGCGGCUACGUGCCGCUCCAGUGCCGCAGGGAAGCCAUUAAGCUCGCCGCCUGGGGAUACGGCCGCAAGGCUGAAACUUAAAGGAAUUGGCGGGGAGCACCACAAGGCGUGAAGCUUGCGGUUC
RNAcentral lists this ribosomal RNA (427 nucleotides) under uncultured archaeon. Its description in RNAcentral is "bacterial SSU rRNA". It matches the Rfam family "Archaeal small subunit ribosomal RNA", at positions 474 to 903 of the family's 1478-position model. The record is from RNAcentral.